AUUGAACGCUGGCGGCAGGCUUAACACAUGCAAGUCGAGCGGGGUGAUGGUGCUUGCACUAUCACUUAGCGGCGGACGGGUGAGUAAUGCUUAGGAAUCUGCCUAUUAGUGGGGGACAACAUCUCGAAAGGGAUGCUAAUACCGCAUACGUCCUACGGGAGAAAGCAGGGGAUCACUUGUGACCUUGCGCUAAUAGAUGAGCCUAAGUCGGAUUAGCUAGUUGGUGGGGUAAAGGCCUACCAAGGCGACGAUCUGUAGCGGGUCUGAGAGGAUGAUCCGCCACACUGGGAGUGAGACACGGCCCAGACUCCUACGGGAGGCAGCAGUGGGGAAUAUUGGACAAUGGGGGGAACCCUGAUCCAGCCAUGCCGCGUGUGUGAAGAAGGCCUUAUGGUUGUAAAGCACUUUAAGCGAGGAGGAGGCUCUUUUGGUUAAUACCCAAGAUGAGUGGACGUUACUCGCAGAAUGAGCACCGGCUAACUCUGUGCCAGCCGCCGCGGUAA
RNAcentral lists this ribosomal RNA (503 nucleotides) under uncultured bacterium. RNAcentral's name for it is "partial 16S ribosomal RNA". It matches the Rfam family "Bacterial small subunit ribosomal RNA", at positions 30 to 523 of the family's 1533-position model. The record is from RNAcentral.